Molecule: long non-coding RNA, 249 nt
Organism: Capsicum annuum
Lineage: Eukaryota; Viridiplantae; Streptophyta; Magnoliopsida; Solanales; Solanaceae
Exons: 3
Source: RefSeq, a predicted model, not a curated record
UCUGUCACGGUGCCAUUGGCUACAGACAGUGUUGAUGUGCUUGAGAGAAUCGUUUCACAGCUUUUUACAACUUUACACGUGGAUGUGGAGGACAUACGAGGAAUGGGAUUGCAGGUCUCAAAGCUUGAAACUGCAGACAGUUCCAAGCAAGGGAAAGAGAGUUACUCCAUCAAAUCUUGGCUCACUGCUGCCUCUGCUAAGACCAAUAACCAAAACAGAUGCAGUAGUCAUGAGAAAGGUGCUGAUGCA